RNAcentral lists this ribosomal RNA (429 nucleotides) under Gemmatimonadota bacterium. Its description in RNAcentral is "Gemmatimonadetes bacterium partial 16S ribosomal RNA". It matches the Rfam family "Bacterial small subunit ribosomal RNA", at positions 355 to 776 of the family's 1533-position model. Lineage: Bacteria; Pseudomonadati; Gemmatimonadota. The record is from RNAcentral.
UAGGGAAUCUUCGGCAAUGGACGAAAGUCUGACCGAGCAACGCCGCGUGAGUGAAGAAGGUUUUCGGAUCGUAAAACUCUGUUGUUAGAGAAGAACAAGGACGUUAGUAACUGAACGUCCCCUGACGGUAUCUAACCAGAAAGCCACGGCUAACUACGUGCCAGCAGCCGCGGUAAUACGUAGGUGGCAAGCGUUGUCCGGAUUUAUUGGGCGUAAAGCGAGCGCAGGCGGUUUCUUAAGUCUGAUGUGAAAGCCCCCGGCUCAACCGGGGAGGGUCAUUGGAAACGGGGAGGCUUGAGUGCAGAAGAGGAGAGUGGAAUUCCAUGUGUAGCGGUGAAAUGCGUAGAUAUAUGGAGGAACACCAGUGGCGAAGGCGGCUCUCUGGUCUGUAACUGACGCUGAGGCUCGAAAGCGUGGGGAGCAAACAGG